RNAcentral lists this long non-coding RNA (687 nucleotides) under Homo sapiens (human). RNAcentral describes it as "non-protein coding LINC00922:7". Lineage: Eukaryota; Metazoa; Chordata; Mammalia; Primates; Hominidae. The record is from RNAcentral.
UACAGCUUUCCUUCAGAAAGAAAUGCAUUCAAAGAACCUACAUUCACAACAUAAAGAAAUAAAGCCUGCACCUACAGAUCUACACACAUGCCCAUGCACAUGCAGGAAGUGUUCAUCUAAGACUGGACCUUUUAGAAGAAAGCUGGCAUACAUUCGUGAAGGCAUGGGCUUCCAGGCAUGUCAUCUUCACUCACGAAGCACACACAAGACCGCCAAGCAUUAAGAUUCUCCUGUGGAGCCAGGCUACAAUCCUUUAAAUGAAGACAGACAGCUAGGUGGCUGCAGCCCAGCGCUACACCUCACCCCUCCCUCAGUGUCAUGCAGAAAAAAUGUAUUCAGAACUCAGAAGUGAAGUUGUGCAAAUCCAUCAUUGACACUAGCUUCAAGGUUACCUCGGGGGAGCAGAAUGUACCCCUGCCAGAGAGCUGGAUAGAUGAUGAUGGGGACAGAAAUUCUGGGGGAGUUGUAAAUGGCAGCCACUGCCUCUAUAGGAAACCCAAAGGGAACACAGCAGAAGAGGAGGUGGUGGAGGAGCCACUGCCCUCUCGAAGGGUUCAAUGUCAUUCUGCAGACACAACCAAAUAACUUUUUCUUCCCUGCUGCUCCUCCAUUUGAAAUGACAGCCCCGAGCUCGCUUUUUCCUUGAUUGUGUAACUCUGAUUACAGACAAGGCCAAGGCAAUCCCAG